UACGUAGGGUGCAAGCGUUGUCCGGAAUUACUGGGCGUAAAGGGCGCGUAGGCUGUGCUGUAAGUCAGGCGUGAAAGCCCCGGGCUCAACCUGGGAAUUGCGCUUGAUACUGCGGCGCUGGAAGGUGGGAGAGGAUGGCGGAAUUCCCAGUGUAGAGGUGAAAUUCGUAGAUAUUGGGAGGAACACCAGAUGCGAAGGCGGGUCACUGGGCUGAUACUGACGCUGAGGAGCGAAAGUGUGGGGAGCGAACAGG
This 253-nucleotide ribosomal RNA is filed under the name uncultured bacterium. RNAcentral describes it as "partial 16S ribosomal RNA". It matches the Rfam family "Bacterial small subunit ribosomal RNA", at positions 524 to 776 of the family's 1533-position model. The record is from RNAcentral.